Molecule: ribosomal RNA, 1554 nt
Filed under: Escherichia coli O55:H7
Lineage: Bacteria; Pseudomonadati; Pseudomonadota; Gammaproteobacteria; Enterobacterales; Enterobacteriaceae
Description: bacterial SSU rRNA
Rfam family: Bacterial small subunit ribosomal RNA
Source: RNAcentral
AAAUUGAAGAGUUUGAUCAUGGCUCAGAUUGAACGCUGGCGGCAGGCCUAACACAUGCAAGUCGAACGGUAACAGGAAGAAGCUUGCUUCUUUGCUGACGAGUGGCGGACGGGUGAGUAAUGUCUGGGAAACUGCCUGAUGGAGGGGGAUAACUACUGGAAACGGUAGCUAAUACCGCAUAACGUCGCAAGACCAAAGAGGGGGAUCUUCGGGCCUCUUGCCAUCGGAUGUGCCCAGAUGGGAUUAGCUAGUAGGUGGGGUAACGGCUCACCUAGGCGACGAUCCCUAGCUGGUCUGAGAGGAUGACCAGCCACACUGGAACUGAGACACGGUCCAGACUCCUACGGGAGGCAGCAGUGGGGAAUAUUGCACAAUGGGCGCAAGCCUGAUGCAGCCAUGCCGCGUGUAUGAAGAAGGCCUUCGGGUUGUAAAGUACUUUCAGCGGGGAGGAAGGGAGUAAAGUUAAUACCUUUGCUCAUUGACGUUACCCGCAGAAGAAGCACCGGCUAACUCCGUGCCAGCAGCCGCGGUAAUACGGAGGGUGCAAGCGUUAAUCGGAAUUACUGGGCGUAAAGCGCACGCAGGCGGUUUGUUAAGUCAGAUGUGAAAUCCCCGGGCUCAACCUGGGAACUGCAUCUGAUACUGGCAAGCUUGAGUCUCGUAGAGGGGGGUAGAAUUCCAGGUGUAGCGGUGAAAUGCGUAGAGAUCUGGAGGAAUACCGGUGGCGAAGGCGGCCCCCUGGACGAAGACUGACGCUCAGGUGCGAAAGCGUGGGGAGCAAACAGGAUUAGAUACCCUGGUAGUCCACGCCGUAAACGAUGUCGACUUGGAGGUUGUGCCCUUGAGGCGUGGCUUCCGGAGCUAACGCGUUAAGUCGACCGCCUGGGGAGUACGGCCGCAAGGUUAAAACUCAAAUGAAUUGACGGGGGCCCGCACAAGCGGUGGAGCAUGUGGUUUAAUUCGAUGCAACGCGAAGAACCUUACCUGGUCUUGACAUCCACAGAACUUUCCAGAGAUGGAUUGGUGCCUUCGGGAACUGUGAGACAGGUGCUGCAUGGCUGUCGUCAGCUCGUGUUGUGAAAUGUUGGGUUAAGUCCCGCAACGAGCGCAACCCUUAUCCUUUGUUGCCAGCGGUCCGGCCGGGAACUCAAAGGAGACUGCCAGUGAUAAACUGGAGGAAGGUGGGGAUGACGUCAAGUCAUCAUGGCCCUUACGACCAGGGCUACACACGUGCUACAAUGGCGCAUACAAAGAGAAGCGACCUCGCGAGAGCAAGCGGACCUCAUAAAGUGCGUCGUAGUCCGGAUUGGAGUCUGCAACUCGACUCCAUGAAGUCGGAAUCGCUAGUAAUCGUGGAUCAGAAUGCCACGGUGAAUACGUUCCCGGGCCUUGUACACACCGCCCGUCACACCAUGGGAGUGGGUUGCAAAAGAAGUAGGUAGCUUAACCUUCGGGAGGGCGCUUACCACUUUGUGAUUCAUGACUGGGGUGAAGUCGUAACAAGGUAACCGUAGGGGAACCUGCGGUUGGAUCACCUCCUUACCUUAAAGAAGC